This 305-nucleotide ribosomal RNA is filed under the name uncultured bacterium. Its description in RNAcentral is "bacterial SSU rRNA". It matches the Rfam family "Bacterial small subunit ribosomal RNA", at positions 335 to 632 of the family's 1533-position model. The record is from RNAcentral.
GUCCCUACGGGAGGCAGCAGUAGGGAAUCUUCGGCAAUGGGGGCAACCCUGACCGAGCAACGCCGCGUGAGUGAAGAAGGUUUUCGGAUCGUAAAGCUCUGUUGUAAGUCAAGGACGGGUGUGGGAGUGGAAAGUUCACACUGUGUCGGUAGCUUACCAGAAAGGGACGGCUAACUACGUGCCAGCAGCCGCGGUAAUACGUAGGUCCCGAGCGUUGUCCGGAUUUAUUGGGCGUAAAGCGAGCGCAGGCGGUUUGGUAAGUCUGAAAUUAAAGGCUGUGGCUCAACCAUAGUUAGCUUUGGAAA